GGCGACACUGCCGAUUGAUAUAUGGAGGUCUCAUCUGAAGGCUCUUCUGGGGACGAGGCUCUGCCUCCGAGUUUCCAGGUUGACCCACGUGGUUGUGGGCAGGAUUCAGUCGCACAGGCUGUUGGGUCGAGAGCCCAGGCUCCUCACUGGCUAUGGGCUGGAGGCCUCCUUCCAUUCCUUCCCACGUGGACCUCUCCUCGGUCAGCUCACAGCACGGCAGCUGACUCCCCUCAGCAUGAACGGGAGAAGGACCUCACGUGAGCCGGUGCCCGAGACAGAGGCUGCAGGCCUUUUGGAACCUAAUCUUGAACUUGACAUCCAAUCGGUUUUUCCAAUUUUAACUCUCUCCUUAGUUUACCUUUAAGUUUCUUCCUUAAGCUUGUGUCAGCUAGGCUUCAUUCAAAGCGGAAGAUACAUCCCCUGAGUUUACGGCAGGGGAGUAGCAGGGCUGGGCGUGUCCAAAGCACUGGCAAAGUUUAAAAGUCAAAAACAAUGCAUGUUUGAAGAGCUGUUUGGAGAAGAAUUCUAAUACCUCUGAUGCUUCACCUUGAGAAUCCAAUGAGGCUCUGCUGGGCAGAGAAGGAACCGCCAACAGGCUCUCAUCACCCCUCUUGGGUUUCAGUCAGCUGCCGUGCUGUGAGCUGACCGAGGAGAGGUCCACGUGGGAAGGAAUGGAAGGAGGCCUCCAGCCCAUAGCCAGUGAGGAGCCUGGGCUCUCGACCCAACAGCCUGUGUGACUGAAUCCUGCCCACAGCCACGUGGGUCAACCUGGAAACUCGGAGGCAGAGCCUCGUCCCCAGAAGAGCCUUCAGAUGAGACCACAGCCCUGGACAACAGCAUGACAGUAAACUCGCGGGAGACCUUGACUCAGACGCGCCCAGGAAACUGUGCCAGGUCCUGACCCACAGGAACUGAACACAUGUAAAACCAUCAAAACGGGGAAAUCACCAACACGCAUAUACCUGCCUAUUUGCAAUAUGAAGGGUUUGUUCAUCUCGGUCUUCAAGCCAGUUGUUUCAGAACUUGGGUCUGUGCUCUUAGGUUCUACUUUAGACCAUGUCAUUGGACACUGGCAGUCGUCAUAUGAUACAAACCUUCACCUGCCCGCAUCUCACUGACAGCACCGAUAGCACAGGGUUCAGCAGCAUUCUCCAAAAGUUAAGUUCUGUGAAGGGUCUGAGAUUUUACCUAAAUAAAAAGUUAGCUUGUUUAUUUUUGUUUUUAUUUCCAUUACUCUAGGAGGUGG
Molecule: non-coding RNA, 1246 nt
Organism: Kogia breviceps (pygmy sperm whale)
Lineage: Eukaryota; Metazoa; Chordata; Mammalia; Artiodactyla; Physeteridae
Source: RefSeq, a predicted model, not a curated record